This 253-nucleotide ribosomal RNA is filed under the name uncultured bacterium. RNAcentral describes it as "partial 16S ribosomal RNA". It matches the Rfam family "Bacterial small subunit ribosomal RNA", at positions 524 to 776 of the family's 1533-position model. The record is from RNAcentral.
UACAGAGGUCCCAAGCGUUGUUCGGAUUCACUGGGCGUAAAGGGUGCGUAGGCGGUUGGGUAAGUCUGAUGUGAAAUCUCACAGCUUAACUGUGAAACUGCAUUGGAUACUAUCCAACUCGAGGAAUGGAGGGGAGACUGGAAUACUUGGUGUAGCAGUGAAAUGCGUAGAGAUGUGGAGGAACACCAGUGGCGAAGGCGACUCUUUGGUCUGUAACUGACGCUGAGGCGCGAAAGCGUGGGGAGCAAACAGG